CAAGAACUUGAUCGGGCUCGGCCCGAUCCUCCCACCCUUUGUGUACCUACCUCUGUUGCUUUGGCGGGCCGCGGUCCUCCGCGGCCGCCCCCCUCCCCGGGGGGGUGGCCAGCGCCCGCCAGAGGACCAUCAAACUCCAGUCAGUAAACGAUGCAGUCUGAAAAACAUUUAAUAAACUAAAACUUUCAACAACGGAUCUCUUGGUUCUGGCAUCGAUGAAGAACGCAGCGAAAUGCGAUAAGUAAUGUGAAUUGCAGAAUUCAGUGAAUCAUCGAAUCUUUGAACGCACAUUGCGCCCUUUGGUAUUCCGAAGGGCAUGCCUGUUCGAGCGUCAUUACAACCCUCAAGCUCUGCUUGGUAUUGGGCACCGUCCUUUGCGGGCGCGCCUCAAAGACCUCGGCGGUGGCGUCUUGCCUCAAGCGUAGUAGAACAUACAUCUCGCUUCGGAGCGCAGGGCGUCGCCCGCCGGACGAACCUUCUGAACUUUUCUCAAGGUUGACCUCGGAUCAGGUAGGGAUACCCGCUGAACUUAAGCAUAUCAAA
Molecule: ribosomal RNA, 543 nt
Filed under: Botryosphaeria dothidea
Lineage: Eukaryota; Fungi; Ascomycota; Dothideomycetes; Botryosphaeriales; Botryosphaeriaceae
Description: eukaryotic LSU rRNA
Rfam family: 5.8S ribosomal RNA (bases 181-334)
Source: RNAcentral